Molecule: long non-coding RNA, 1014 nt
Filed under: Prunus persica (peach)
Lineage: Eukaryota; Viridiplantae; Streptophyta; Magnoliopsida; Rosales; Rosaceae
Description: long non-coding RNA (PPER_LNC002555)
Source: RNAcentral
ACGUUUUCAAGAGAUAAGUAAGGAGCAAGGAGGUUGUUCACUAGAAAAAGCAAACUGACUAUCAUCACAGACUGUGUUCUUUUUUACAAAGAACAAACAGGGAACAAAGAGAGUUGGUUUUUUCUUUCAGAAAAAGCAAGGAAAAGACCUCCAUGAAAGCUAAUUGUUGAUGGUUCUUCUCUGCCAAAAUACUAACUUCCCUUUUUGUGGCAUUUAAAAAGAAAGAUCUUUUAAAGAUCUGCUGCCCAUUAUUAAAAAUUAAGAACCUCACUCCAGCAUUUCCUAUAAAUAUGAGAGGAGGUGAACAGAUCAAAACACAGCCAAAAAAAUCAAUCAAGACAAAAACUCUCAAAGUCACAACUGACAAACUCAAAAAGAUCAACUGAUCUCAAAAGCUUUUAGACCCUAAAGCAACCAAAGCUCUUUGAUCCACAAGAAACAAAUUAGCUAGAAUUCAAAUCUCUGGUUUUAGCUCAGUUUAGGGAAACAGUUUUACAAAGCGAGAUUUUUCUCGUUAUAAAUUUGGUUCAACACAAAGCCAAGUCAAGUAGAGUCCAGGUUUUUACAAAUAUGAAAACCUCAACAAAUUUACAAAAAGCCUCGGUCAAGCAGAACAAGCACCAUAGCGCUGCUCCAGCUCAGUGACCAUCAAUCCAGCCACUUCUGUCCUUAUUCAGACUAAAGAGGCAUCAAUUCUGCCUGUUCAACAAGCCUUUCAUGGCUCGAAAUAAAUUAAAACUCUGCCAAACUCAAACGUUGGUAUCAAUUUCCAGCUGAAACUCAUCAGUUGAAGGUGAUGACAAUCCAAUUCAGCGUAGACACAUCCAAUCCAGCCCAGUUCAGAAGUAGAUACCCAGGCAGAAAUUGAAGUCCAACAUUCUGUUGUCUUUUUCGGAGUUGACAUUUCGCUUUUUGAGUCCUGUAAUAGGCAGUUUUACCUAAACAGUUUCUCUUCUUUUUUAAAAAAAAAAUAUAUUCUGGCCAAAACUACCAAUUUUGUACUAUGAAAUUUUU